Molecule: ribosomal RNA, 466 nt
Filed under: uncultured bacterium
Lineage: Bacteria
Description: partial 16S ribosomal RNA
Rfam family: Bacterial small subunit ribosomal RNA
Source: RNAcentral
GAUGAACGCUGGCGGCGUGCUUAACACAUGCAAGUCGAACGAUGAAGCCCAGCUUGCUGGGUGUAUUAGUGGCGAACGGGUGAGUAACACGUGAGUAACCUGCCCUUAACUCUGGGAUAAGCCUGGGAAACUGGGUCUAAUACCGGAUAGGAGCGUCCACCGCAUGGUGGGUGUUGGAAAGAUUUAUCGGUUUUGGAUGGAAUCGCGGCCUAUCAGCUUGUUGGUGAGGUAAUGGCUCACCAAGGCGACGACGGGUAGCCGGCCUGUGAGGGUGACCGGCCGAACUGGGACUGCGGCACGGCACAGACUCGUACGGGGAGCAGCAGUGGGGAAUAUUGCACAACGGGCGCAAGCGUGAUGCAGCAACGCCGCGUGAGGGAUGACGGCCUUCGAGUUGUAAACCUAUUUCAGUAGGGAAGAAGCGAAAGUGACGGUACCUGCAGAAGAAGCACCGGCUAACUACGUG